RNAcentral lists this ribosomal RNA (497 nucleotides) under uncultured bacterium. RNAcentral describes it as "partial 16S ribosomal RNA". It matches the Rfam family "Bacterial small subunit ribosomal RNA", at positions 28 to 507 of the family's 1533-position model. The record is from RNAcentral.
GAUGAACGCUGGCGGCGUGCCUAAUACAUGCAAGUCGAGCGAACAGACGAGGAGCUUGCUCCUCUGACGUUAGCGGCGGACGGGUGAGUAACACGUGGAUAACCUACCUAUAAGACUGGGAUAACUUCGGGAAACCGGAGCUAAUACCGGAUAAUAUAUUGAACCGCAUGGUUCAAUAGUGAAAGACGGUUUUGCUGUCACUUAUAGAUGGAUCCGCGCCGCAUUAGCUCGUUGGUAAGGUAACGGCUUACCAAGGCAACGAUGCGUAGCCGACCUGAGAGGGUGAUCGGCCACACUGGAACUGAGACACGGUCCAGACUCCUACGGGAGGCAGCAGUAGGGAAUCUUCCGCAAUGGGCGAAAGCCUGACGGAGCAACGCCGCGUGAGUGAUGAAGAUCUUCGGAUCGUAAAACUCUGUUAUUAGGGAAGAACAAAUGUGUAAGUAACUAUGCACGUCUUGACGGUACCUAAUCAGAAAGCCACGGCUAACUACGUG